AGUGAACGCUGGCGGUAGGCCUAACACAUGCAAGUCGAACGGCAGCACAGGAGAGCUUGCUCUCUGGGUGGCGAGUGGCGGACGGGUGAGGAAUGCACCGGAAUCUACUCUGUCGUGGGGGAUAACGUAGGGAAACUUACGCUAAUACCGCAUACGACCUACGGGUGAAAGCAGGGGAUCUUCGGACCUUGCGCGAUUGAAUGAGCCGAGGUCGGAUUAGCUAGUUGGCGGGGUAAAGGCCCACCAAGGCGACGGUCCGUAGCUGGUCUGAGAGGAUGAUCAGCCACACUGGAACUGAGACACGGUCCAGACUCCUACGGGAGGCAGCAGUGGGGAAUAUUGGACAAUGGGCGCAAGCCUGAUCCAGCCAUACCGCGUGGGUGAAGAAGGCCUUCGGGUUGUAAAGCCCUUUUGUUGGGAAAGAAAUCCAGCUGGCUAAUACCCGGUUGGGAUGACGGUACCCAAAGAAUAAGCACCGGCUAACUUCGUGCCAGCCGCCGCCGUAA
This 506-nucleotide ribosomal RNA is filed under the name uncultured bacterium. RNAcentral's name for it is "partial 16S ribosomal RNA". It matches the Rfam family "Bacterial small subunit ribosomal RNA", at positions 29 to 523 of the family's 1533-position model. The record is from RNAcentral.